CUCUCUGUUCUUAUUUGAAGUUGCCUUUCUUUCUGAAAUGCAGUGUGGGAAAGAGCACAAUCUGAUCCACUAGAGACAGCACAAGAUAGUUAGAACACAAGCCUUUACGGCCAGAGAGACCUACAUUCGUGUUCUAACUCUACCGUUUACCGGCUGUAAGACCUUCGCAGGUCAUGGACCCUCUUGGAGUGCUGUACGUGAAGGAAAGAGCACUUGUAACUUCAAAGAUAGAGGGACUGAGAGAAAUCUGAAAGACCAUUUCUUGAAUACAUUUUGAGGAGAAGCUGAUAGUCUGCUGAUUCAUGAAGGCACAGGACUGGCUGAUGUUUCUAGUGCUGCAGAAAGCUCCAUGAACAGCCACCAGGUCCAGGAUUAGAACCGUGCAGCCCUCCACGUGGGAUCCAUCCCUCAUAACCUCCACACUGUGGACUGUCUCCAGGACUUUGUUUUCUUUCUUUCAAAAGUGGAAGAUCAAACUGGAAUCUGCUGCAACUGACCGAGGGUUUGAUUGGCUCCUUCCCAUCAGACUUUCUCAGGCUGUGUUCUACAGCAGGAUCUUUGCUGAGCUUUCAUCAGCAACCAUUUCAUAAGAUAUAGUAAUCAUCCCUUUUCGUCUGUGUAUCACGUACGUAUGUAAUUUCUUCUAUUCUCAAGUGUUUCAGGUGACAUUUACAGUACUGAAAUGUGAGAGACACUUGAAAGCUUAAAAAAAUGUAGAAGGAUCAGUAGA
Molecule: long non-coding RNA, 730 nt
Organism: Tupaia belangeri chinensis (Chinese tree shrew)
Lineage: Eukaryota; Metazoa; Chordata; Mammalia; Scandentia; Tupaiidae
Exons: 4
Source: RefSeq, a predicted model, not a curated record